UGGGGAAUAUUGGACAAUGGGCGAAAGCCUGAUCCAGCAAUGCCGCGUGAGUGAAGAAGGCCUUCGGGUUGUAAAGCUCUUUUACCCGGGAAGAUAAUGACUGUACCGGGAGAAUAAGCACCGGCUAACUUCGUGCCAGCAGCCGCGGUAAUACGAAGGGUGCAAGCGUUACUCGGAAUUACUGGGCGUAAAGCGUGCGUAGGUGGUGGUUUAAGUCUGCUGUGAAAGCCCUGGGCUCAACCUGGGAAUUGCAGUGGAUACUGGAUCACUAGAGUGUGGUAGAGGGAUGCGGAAUUUCUGGUGUAGCAGUGAAAUGCGUAGAGAUGUGGAGGAACACCGAUGGCGAAGGCAGCCCCCUGGGAUAACACUGACGCUCAUGCACGAAAGCGUGGGGAGCAAACA
Molecule: ribosomal RNA, 402 nt
Filed under: uncultured bacterium
Lineage: Bacteria
Description: bacterial SSU rRNA
Rfam family: Bacterial small subunit ribosomal RNA
Source: RNAcentral